Molecule: ribosomal RNA, 429 nt
Filed under: Bacillota bacterium
Lineage: Bacteria; Bacillati; Bacillota
Description: Firmicutes bacterium partial 16S ribosomal RNA
Rfam family: Bacterial small subunit ribosomal RNA
Source: RNAcentral
UAGGGAAUCUUCGGCAAUGGACGGAAGUCUGACCGAGCAACGCCGCGUGAGUGAAGAAGGUUUUCGGAUCGUAAAGCUCUGUUGUUAGAGAAGAACGUUGGUAGGAGUGGGAAAUCUACCAAGUGACGGUAACUAACCAGAAAGGGACGGCUAACUACGUGCCAGCAGCCGCGGUAAUACGUAGGUCCCGAGCGUUGUCCGGAUUUAUUGGGCGUAAAGCGAGCGCAGGCGGUUCUUUAAGUCUGAAGUUAAAGGCAGUGGCUUAACCAUUGUACGCUUUGGAAACUGGAGGACUUGAGUGCAGAAGGGGAGGGUGGAAUUCCAUGUGUAGCGGUGAAAUGCGUAGAUAUAUGGAGGAACACCGGUGGCGAAAGCGGCUCUCUGGUCUGUAACUGACGCUGAGGCUCGAAAGCGUGGGGAGCAAACAGG